UACGUAUGGUGCAAGCGUUAUCCGGAUUUACUGGGUGUAAAGGGAGCGCAGGCGGCACGGCAAGCCUGAUGUGAAAGCCCGCGGCCCAACCGCGGGACUGCAUUGGGAACUACCGGGCUGGAGUGCCGGAGAGGUAGGCGGAAUUCCUAGUGUAGCGGUGAAAUGCGUAGAUAUUAGGAGGAACACCAGUGGCGAAGGCGGCCUACUGGACGGUGACUGACGCUGGGGCUCGAAAGCGUGGGGAGCAAACAGG
This 253-nucleotide ribosomal RNA is filed under the name uncultured bacterium. RNAcentral's name for it is "partial 16S ribosomal RNA". It matches the Rfam family "Bacterial small subunit ribosomal RNA", at positions 524 to 776 of the family's 1533-position model. The record is from RNAcentral.